AAAACACUUUAUUCCAAUAAAAUACAGUUCGUAUAACGCUAGCCACAUUCGUGAGUUCGAAUUCACAAUUAGGUAUUUUCAGAAAUUUUUAUAGCAUGUAUUUUACUAAAUUUUCAGCCAACAUAAAGAGAAAAAUUAUCUGAAAUUACAAGUAAUAAACAAAUAUUGCGAUAUUUCAAUUUUAAAGUACGGCAAUAAAAAUGAGAAAUUGAAAACUGAAAGACCUUCUAUGACGAAUUGCUGAAAAUUAAACGUCGCAAAAUCAAAAUAUUAUGUGUGUAGAGAAAUCAUGAUGUAGCUUUCUG
This 305-nucleotide long non-coding RNA is filed under the name Nicotiana benthamiana. RNAcentral describes it as "long non-coding RNA (NBEN_LNC005519)". The record is from RNAcentral. Lineage: Eukaryota; Viridiplantae; Streptophyta; Magnoliopsida; Solanales; Solanaceae.